GCAGGCCUAACACAUGCAAGUCGAGCGGAUGAGUGGAGCUUGCUCCAUGAUUCAGCGGCGGACGGGUGAGUAAUGCCUAGGAAUCUGCCUGGUAGUGGGGGACAACGUUUCGAAAGGAACGCUAAUACCGCAUACGUCCUACGGGAGAAAGUGGGGGAUCUUCGGACCUCACGCUAUCAGAUGAGCCUAGGUCGGAUUAGCUAGUUGGCGAGGUAAAGGCUCACCAAGGCGACGAUCCGUAACUGGUCUGAGAGGAUGAUCAGUCACACUGGAACUGAGACACGGUCCAGACUCCUACGGGAGGCAGCAGUGGGGAAUAUUGGACAAUGGGCGAAAGCCUGAUCCAGCCAUGCCGCGUGUGUGAAGAAGGUCUUCGGAUUGUAAAGCACUUUAAGUUGGGAGGAAGGGCAGUAAGUUAAUACCUUGCUGUUUUGACGUUACCGACAGAAUAAGCACCGGCUAACUUCGUGCCAGCAGCCGCGGUAAUACGAAGGGUGCAAGCGUUAAUCGGAAUUACUGGGCGUAAAGCGCGCGUAGGUGGUUCGUUAAGUUGGAUGUGAAAGCCCCGGGCUCAACCUGGGAACUGCAUCCAAAACUGGCGAGCUAGAGUAGGCAGAG
This 618-nucleotide ribosomal RNA is filed under the name Pseudomonas sp. 4FB5. Its description in RNAcentral is "bacterial SSU rRNA". It matches the Rfam family "Bacterial small subunit ribosomal RNA", at positions 42 to 656 of the family's 1533-position model. The record is from RNAcentral. Lineage: Bacteria; Pseudomonadati; Pseudomonadota; Gammaproteobacteria; Pseudomonadales; Pseudomonadaceae.